AGUGAACGCUGGCGGUAGGCCUAACACAUGCAAGUCGAACGGCAGCACAGUAAGAGCUUGCUCUUACGGGUGGCGAGUGGCGGACGGGUGAGGAAUACAUCGGAAUCUACUUUUUCGUGGGGGAUAACGUAGGGAAACUUACGCUAAUACCGCAUACGACCUACGGGUGAAAGCAGGGGAUCUUCGGACCUUGCGCGAUUGAAUGAGCCGAUGUCGGAUUAGCUAGUUGGCGGGGUAAGGGCCCACCAAGGCGACGAUCCGUAGCUGGUCUGAGAGGAUGAUCAGCCACACUGGAACUGAGACACGGUCCAGACUCCUACGGGAGGCAGCAGUGGGGAAUAUUGGACAAUGGGCGCAAGACUGAUCCAGCCAUACCGCGUGGGUGAAGAAGGCCUUCGGGUUGUAAAGCCCUUUUGUUGGGAAAGAAAAGCAGCAGGUUAAUACCCCGCUGUUCUGACGGUACCCAAAGAAUAAGCACCGGCUAACUUCGUG
RNAcentral lists this ribosomal RNA (492 nucleotides) under uncultured bacterium. RNAcentral's name for it is "partial 16S ribosomal RNA". It matches the Rfam family "Bacterial small subunit ribosomal RNA", at positions 29 to 507 of the family's 1533-position model. The record is from RNAcentral.